This is a long non-coding RNA of Thalassophryne amazonica, 267 nucleotides long. RefSeq lists it as uncharacterized. The record is from RefSeq and is a predicted model, not a curated record. NCBI's taxonomy places the organism in Eukaryota, Metazoa, Chordata, Actinopteri, Batrachoidiformes, Batrachoididae. The transcript is spliced from 4 exons.
GUAAUGCAAAUUAUUGGUUGAGCUAAUAGGAUUAAUAAAUGAAAUAAUUUUGACUGUGUUGAAAGUUUAGUCUACAAAGUAAAGGUCAAACAAUGUCAACAUCCGUUGGAUUCUAUGACAUGACAGAUUAGAUAGAACAUUAUUCAUCCCUUGGGAAGACUCCCUCAGGGAAAUUGAGGUUCCAGCAGCAUUGUAUAGCAGCACACAGGGUAAGAAGCACACAAAGUAUCAAAAGUGAAAAAAAAAAAAAUGAGAGGCAAACAUUUU